AGAGGUGAAAGGUUGCAGCUCAACUGUAGAAUUGCCUUUGAUACUGAUGUUCUUGAGUUAUGUUGCUGUGGCCGGAACAUGUGGUGUAGCGGUGAAAUGCAUAGAUAUCACAUAGAACACCGAUUGCGAAGGCAGGUCACAAAGCAUACACUGACACUGAUGGACGAAAGCGUGGGGAGCGAACGGGAUUAGAUACCCCGGUAGUCCACGCCGUAAACGAUGGAUACUAGCUGUUGGGUUUUCGGACUCGGCGGCCAAGCGAAAGUGAUAAGUAUCCCACCUGGGGAGUACGUUCGCAAGAAUGAAACUCAAAGGAAUUGACGGGGGCCCGCACAAGCGGUGGAGCAUGUGGUUUAAUUCGAUGAUACGCGAGGAACCUUACCAGGGCUUAAAUGGGGGAUGACAGAGGCAGAGACGCCUUUUUCUUCGGACAUCCUUCAAGGUGCUGCAUGGUUGUCGUCAGCUCGUGCCGUGAGGUGUCAGGUUAAGUCCUAUAACGAGCGCAACCCCUGCCGUUAGUUGCCAGCGAGUCAAGUCGGGGACUCUAACGGGACUGCCGGUGCAAACCGUGAGGAAGGUGGGGACGACGUCAAAUCAUCACGGCCCUUACGUCCUGGGCUACACACGUGCUACAAUGGUCGGUACAAUGGGAAGCUACCCUGUAAGGGGAUGCGGAUCUUCAAAGCCGAUCACAGUUCGGAUCGGGGUCUGCAACUCGAC
RNAcentral lists this ribosomal RNA (720 nucleotides) under uncultured Bacteroidota bacterium. RNAcentral's name for it is "bacterial SSU rRNA". It matches the Rfam family "Bacterial small subunit ribosomal RNA", at positions 590 to 1316 of the family's 1533-position model. Lineage: Bacteria; Pseudomonadati; Bacteroidota. The record is from RNAcentral.